GCCUCCAACCCAAAACACAAUGCAUAAUUAAUCUAUGUUUAUACAUAUGCGGGUAUAUACAUAUAUAUGUUAUACUACGCAUCUACAACGUAGUUUAGGUGAUACGACAUGUGUGACAACAUAGUUUGACUGCAAAUAUAAAAUUCUUCGUCCUACUCAUGAUUCAAUAAUACAAGGUUAUGUGUUCAGCAACAAGACUCUGAAGGUUUUUAAGUAAUUUAAUGUUAAAUUUCUGUAACACCGGAUUUAUACACGUCUCAUGUCUCAUUCGCGGUCACACGGGCAACAUUGUUUUCGGCAACAUUUUGACAUUUAAUACCUUAGCAUCGUCUGGUUCGGAUAUACAGUUAGUAACAUAAAUAAAUAUACAGGAGCCUGAUUUACAGAAUUGUUUGACGCUAACGCUUUCCUUAAUAUGUAAUCAAAAGCCAAGUCAUAUUUUCUGAUGAGUGUAAGUUCAGUAUCUGUGGAUCCGAUGACCGUGAAAAAGUUUGGAGAAAAGUUAACGCGGAAUUGGAUCCAAACAAUAUGACCGGUAACUGUGAAGCACGGAGAGGGCUCUGUGAUGGUUUGGGCAUGUAUGGCUGCGAACUUGGUAUUUAUCGAAAAUAUUCAAUAUAAAGCGCUAUAAUUUUGUUCCUUCUUAAAAUUGUGUCAUUAUUUGGAUUAAAUAUGACUUUUGUAUUUCAUUCAUGUAAAUAAAACACAAUUUUGUUAUAACUUGUUUGAAGGAAUCGAUUGGAGGAAAAUUGAAAACGUGUCCGGUGUAUUCUUAUUAUACUUCUGUUACUAACUGUAUCCUAGAACCCGCUUACAUGUAAAGCAGAGAACGGCUGAACCGAUUCGGCUGAAAAUUGAUGGAGAGGUAGCUUAGAACCAGGAGACGGACAUAGGAUACUUUUUAUCCCAUUGGAACGCGUUUCCGUGAAGUCACUAUAAAAUGUGGUAAAGCGUUUUUCAGUAAGAGCGCUUCAACUUUUUUUUUUUAAUAAAACACAAACGGUUUGACUUUUUUAACUAAUUUUUUUUUUAUUAUCGAGUUUGAACAUAUACAUUUAAGUAUGAAAUUCGAUUUCUUUUGCAUGACCACCGCGUGCACGUUUUACGAAAUCCAAUCGUUGAACCCAAUUUUCGACCACUCUUUUGCAUAAAUCGGCCGAAAUUCCAGCAAUUUCGCGUUCAAUAUUGGCUCUGAGCUCACAAAUCGUCGCCGGCUUGUUACUGUAGACCAAUGACAUCACAUAACCCCAAAGAAAAUAGUCUAGGGGCGUCAAAUCACACGAGCGCGGCGGCCAUUCGACCGGUCCAUUUCUGGAAAUAAUGCGCUCAUCGAACUUACUCUUCAACAAAUCAAUUGUAGCGUGUGCUGUGUGGCUUGUGGCCCUGUCCUGUUGAAACCACAUGUCGUCUAAGUCCAUACCAUUCAAUUGCGGCCAAAAAUAAUCGUUUAUCAUGUCGCGGUAUCGAUUUCCGUUCACAGUAAAGUGGCGAUCGUUCUCGUCAACGAAAAAAUAUGGGCCAAUUACGCCGCCGGCAUGUAAACCGCACCAAACAGUGAUUUUUUCGGGAUGCAACGGUGCCUCAUGAAUCACGUGUGGAUUGCUUUCUGCCCAGUAACGCAUAUUUUGCUUGUUGACAAAGCCAUUGAGUCAAAAGUGAGCUUCAUCACUGAAGAUGAUUUUUUGGAAAAAAUCUGGAUUACAGUAGGACAACAGAACGAUUAUUUUCAUAAAAAAUUUGCACGAUUUGCAAUCAUUGUUCAAGAGGGUAGCGUUCCAUGAUGAAAUGUAUACUAAUGAAGUUUACAAAUUACAAGCGAAAAAUAAAAAAUAUUGCGUCGUUCGCCCUCCCUAUCGGAAAAAAGUUGAAGUGCACCUAUUGAAAAACGCUGUAUAACAAAAACCCAUCUGAUAUGGAAUAACAAAACGCAAAUGACAGACGAUCGAAUCUUUCCCGACAAAGCCGUAGUACAAGAAGGAUACGAAACAUUGCGAAUGAAACGACUGAAGAAGCACAAGGAAUUGCCCGUGAAGAGUGCCGCGUUAGUAUGGCUCGACUUCGUGCUUCUCAAUCAAAAGAGCAAAGUGAGGCAGCCCGUGAAACGGCUCGGUUGGCAAUGCGAAAUCGUCGAGCGAAUAACAGAGAUCAACAAGUAGAUCCUUUCCGACGCACAAUAAGAGAAUUAUCAAGUGCUGAUUUGAAUCGAGCAACGUUUUGAUAUGAUUGCAACACUGAUUACUGUUUGCAUCCUAGCGUUUGCAUUGGGCCAAUGAACGUUGUUCGUGAGUAUUGUGGCGCAUUGAAAUUUUCCUGAGAAAAGCCCGGAUUGUGCUGCCUUAGUGGAAGAGUGAAAUUGCCAUUAUUGCCAGGUGAAGAAACUACAAAGAAAGUUAGCUCGAUGAAUUAUUACGCAUAUCGUUUGAUGAUUCGUCAAAAUGCUGACAACUAUUUGCUGCGGUUUCGUCGAUGGUUUCAGCAGUAUUGCGUCGACAUGUACGUCAAAAUCCAAACUUCGUUCUGAGGAAUGUACAUUUACGUGAUGCAAUUGGUACUGAAGGAAAUGCAGCUAAUAUUGGUCGAUUAACUAUUCUGCCGGCGACGUACAUAGGUAGUCCACGUCAUAUGCAUGAAUAUGCGCAAGAUGCAAUGACAUAUGUUCGUCAUUACGGUAGGCCAAAUAUCUUUAUUACUUUUACCUGUAAUUCAAAAUGGAUAGAAACUGUUGCCACACGCACACAUUCUUAUUCGGUUAGUGGAAAGAAUUCAAACAGACCAAGUUGAUGAUACCAUAUGUGCCGAGAUUCCCGAUCACGAAGCCGAUCCAGAGCUACAUGAUGUUGUAAUUACAAAUAUGAUUCAUGCACCGUGUGGCGCCAUCAAUCCCCAAUCACCUUGCAUAGUCGACGGCAAGUGUUCCAAACGAUAUCUACGGAAAUUAACGGCGGAGACUGUUACUGGGAACGAUGGUUAUCCACUGUAUCGCCGUCGAUCACCCGGUGAUAACGGUCGAACUAUCACAACAAAAGUGAAAAGAAAGGACUUCGGUGUCGACAACAGUUGGAUUGUUCCAUAUUCGCCACUUAUUUCCAAAAUGUUCAAGACACAUUGCAACGUUGAGUAUUACAAUUCAGUAAAUUCCAUAAAAUACAUUUGCAAAUACAUAUGUCACGAAAGGCAGCGAUAUAGCGGUUUUUGGCAUCCAAUCCUCCAAUACCAACGAUGAAAUCACGCGCUAUCAAGUUGGUCGUUAUGUGAACUGCAAUGAAGCGAUUUGGCGUAUAUUCGCAUUCCCUAUUCACGAACGUGAUCCUACUGUUGUGCAUUUGUGCCUCUAGAGCGGAACAAAGUUCGCCGGGUCUGUUAGUAAUAAAUAAUUCGCUAUUUUUUAUUUACAUAUAUGUAUAAAUUUUUGUACUUGAAUAAAAAAAUGUAAUUAAAAAUA
Long non-coding RNA from Anastrepha obliqua, 3442 nucleotides. RefSeq lists it as uncharacterized. The transcript is spliced from 2 exons. Lineage: Eukaryota; Metazoa; Arthropoda; Insecta; Diptera; Tephritidae. The record is from RefSeq and is a predicted model, not a curated record.